This 254-nucleotide ribosomal RNA is filed under the name uncultured bacterium. RNAcentral's name for it is "partial 16S ribosomal RNA". It matches the Rfam family "Bacterial small subunit ribosomal RNA", at positions 524 to 776 of the family's 1533-position model. The record is from RNAcentral.
UACGUAGGGUGCGAGCGUUGUCCGGAAUUAUUGGGCGUAAAGAGCUCGUAGGCGGUUUGUUGCGUCGGCUGUGAAAACCUGCAGCUUAACUGUGGGCUUGCGGUCGAUACGGGCAUCACUGGAGUUCGGCAGGGGAGACUGGAAUUCCUGGUGUAGCGGUGAAAUGCGCAGAUAUCAGGAGGAACACCGGUGGCGAAGGCGGGUCUCUGGGCCGAUACUGACGCUGAGGAGCGAAAGCGUGGGGAGCGAACAGG